This 1795-nucleotide ribosomal RNA is filed under the name Atractotomus cercocarpi. Its description in RNAcentral is "eukaryotic LSU rRNA". It matches the Rfam family "Eukaryotic large subunit ribosomal RNA", at positions 581 to 1857 of the family's 3401-position model. The record is from RNAcentral. Lineage: Eukaryota; Metazoa; Arthropoda; Insecta; Hemiptera; Miridae.
UCACGUCUUCUCGCGGGUUCAACGCAUCCGCUCCUCUCCGACGGCCCUGCUCCCGUCCGGACUCGUCCGGCGCGUGGCAGUGGGGUUGCAGAGGGUGGUGUGGAGGCCUGCGGCGGACCGCACUUCUCCCUUAGUAGGACGUCGUGACCCGUCCGGUCAUGGUCAUAAGGUCGCAGGGUGGAGCCUGCCCGUUCGUGCUUGCACGUUUUCCGGGCAGACCCCCGCGUCCCGGCCAUGAUAUCCCCGGUCGGUAACGAAUGACAGUGUUCGGCCGCUCACCGGCGGAGGGAACUCCUGCCAGAGAGCGCGAUCAUGCCAGCCUCAGACAAGGUGCCGGGUUUGUCAGUCAAGGCGGGCUUCCGUCCGUCUGGCUGCUCUCGGCCCUGUUAGUCUGGGUGCCCUUUCGCUCGGCCUAUUUACACUCGUCUACGGCGAAUCAGUUUUGGGCUCUUGUCCGACCCGUCUUGAAACACGGACCAAGGAGUUCAGCGUGUACGCGAGUCAUUGGGUGGUAAAACCCAAAGGCGAAAUGAAAGUGAAGGGAACUUCACGUUUCUGAGGGAAGAUGAGUCGGUUACCCGCAAGGGGCUGCUCCGCACUCCCGGGGCGUCUCUUUCUCAUUGCGAGUGGAGGCGCACCCAGAGCGUACACGCUGAUACCCGAAAGAUGGUGAACUAUGCCUGGCCAGGACGAAGCCAGGGGAAACCCUGGUGGAGGUCCGCAGCGAUUCUGACGUGCAAAUCGAUCGUCGGAGCUGGGUAUAGGGGCGAAAGACCAAUCGAACCAUCUAGUAGCUGGUUCCCUCCGAAGUUUCCCUCAGGAUAGCUUGCGCUCACGUGAACGAGUCUCAUCCGGUAGAGCGAAUGAUUAGAGGCCUUGGGGUCGAAACGACCUCAACCUAUUCUCAAACUCCAAAUAGAUGAGAACUCCGGCUUUCUUGAACUUUGUUUUUGAAGCCGGGGGCUCGGAUCAGAGUGCCAAGUGGGCCAAUUUUGGUAAGCAGAACUGGCGCUGUGGGAUGAACCAAACGUCGAGUUAAGGCGCCUAAAUCGACGCUCAUGUGAAACCAUGAAAGGCGUUGGUUGCUUAAGACAGCAGGACGGUGGCCAUGGAAGUCGGAAUCCGCUAAGGAGUGUGUAACAACUCACCUGCCGAAGCAACUAGCCCUGAAAAUGGAUGGCGCUGUAGCGUCGUGCCUAUACUCGACCGUCAACGGCAAAGAUGGCUGGCGGGCAACCGUCGGCCGUUACGCCUUGACGAGUAGGAGGGCCGCGGCGAUGUGCGUAGAAGGGUCUGGGCGUGAGCCUGCCUGGAGCCGUCGUCGGUGCAGAUCUUGGUGGUAGUAGCAAAUACUCCAGCGAGGCCCUGGAGGACUGAUGUGGAGAAGGGUUUCUUGUGAACAGCUGUUGCACAAGAGUCAGUCGGUCCUAAGCCCUAGGAGAAAUCCGAAGCGAUGGGUUGCCGUGAAAACCACCAUUGUGUAAAGCUGGCACCCGUUUGGGCGAAAGGGAAUCCGGUUCCUAUUCCGGAACCUGGCAGUGGAACCGUUCCAAUUCGGGCCCUCUGAGGACUCGUCAGGGCAACCUGAAUAGACCCGGAGACGCCGACAGGAGAUUGGGGGAGAGUUGUCUCUUCUCUAUAAGCGAUCGAGUUCCCUGGAAACUUCUAGCAAGGAGAUAGGGUUUGGAUCGCGAAGAGCACUGCAGUUACGGCAGUGUCCCAAUCUUCCUCUCGGACCUUGAAAAUCCGGGUGAGGGCCACGAGGAACCCCACGCCAGACCGUACCCAUAUCCGC